AUCCCAUGACGAGGACAUUUACGAAGUAAUUCCUUGAAUCUUUCCCACGCCUCUUACAAGGACCCGUCAUCCAAUUGUUGGAAGGUAGUUAUCUCAUUACGCAACUU
This is a non-coding RNA of Gossypium hirsutum (cotton), 107 nucleotides long. The record is from Rfam. NCBI's taxonomy places the organism in Eukaryota, Viridiplantae, Streptophyta, Magnoliopsida, Malvales, Malvaceae.